ACGAACGCUGGCGGCGUGCUUAACACAUGCAAGUCGAACGGAAAGGCCCUGCUUUUGUGGGGUGCUCGAGUGGCGAACGGGUGAGUAACACGUGAGUAACCUGCCCUUGACUUUGGGAUAACUUCAGGAAACUGGGGCUAAUACCGGAUAGGAGCUCCUGCUGCAUGGUGGGGGUUGGAAAGUUUCGGCGGUUGGGGAUAGACUCGCGGCUUAUCAGCUUGUUGGUGGGGUAGUGGCUUACCAAGGCUUUGACGGGUAGCCGGCCUGAGAGGGUGACCGGCCACAUUGGGACUGAGAUACGGCCCAGACUCCUACGGGAGGCAGCAGUGGGGAAUAUUGCACAAUGGGCGGAAGCCUGAUGCAGCAACGCCGCGUGCGGGAUGACGGCCUUCGGGUUGUAAACCGCUUUCGCCUGUGACGAAGCGUGAGUGACGGUAAUGGGUAAAGAAGCACCGGCUAACUACGUGCCAGCAGCCGCGGUGAUACGUAGGGUGCGAGCGUUGUCCGGAUUUAUUGGGCGUAAAGGGCUCGUAGGUGGUUGAUCGCGUCGGAAGUGUAAUCUUGGGGCUUAACCCUGAGCGUGCUUUCGAUACGGGUUGACUUGAGGAAGGUAGGGGAGAAUGGAAUUCCUGGUGGAGCGGUGGAAUGCGCAGAUAUCAGGAGGAACACCAGUGGCGAAGGCGGUUCUCUGGGCCUUUCCUGACGCUGAGGAGCGAAAGCGUGGGGAGCGAACAGGCUUAGAUACCCUGGUAGUCCACGCUGUAAACGGUGGGUACUAGGUGUGGGGUCCAUUCCACGGGUUCCGUGCCGUAGCUAACGCUUUAAGUACCCCGCCUGGGGAGUACGGCCGCAAGGCUAAAACUCAAAGGAAUUGACGGGGCCCCGCACAAGCGGCGGAGCAUGCGGAUUAAUUCGAUGCAACGCGUAGAACCUUACCUGGGUUUGACAUGGAUCGGGAGUGCUCAGAGAUGGGUGUGCCUCUUUUGGGGUCGGUUCACAGGUGGUGCAUGGCUGUCGUCAGCUCGUGUCGUGAGAUGUUGGGUUAAGUCCCGCAACGAGCGCAACCCUUGUUCACUGUUGCCAGCACGUUAUGGUGGGGACUCAGUGGAGACCGCCGGGGUCAACUCGGAGGAAGGUGGGGAUGGCGUCAAGUCAUCAUGCCCCUUAUGUCCAGGGCUUCACGCAUGCUACAAUGGCUGGUACAGAGAGUGGCGAGCCUGUGAGGGUGAGCGAAUCUCGGAAAGCCGGUCUCAGUUCGGAUUGGGGUCUGCAACUCGACCUCAUGAAGUCGGAGUCGCUAGUAAUCGCAGAUCAGCAACGCUGCGGUGAAUACGUUCCCGGGGCUUGUACACACCGCCCGUCAAGUCAUGAAAGUUGGUAACACCCGAAGCCGGUGGCCUAACCGUUGUGGGGGAGCCGUCGAAGGUGGGACUGGUGAUUAGGACU
This 1446-nucleotide ribosomal RNA is filed under the name uncultured organism. RNAcentral's name for it is "partial small subunit ribosomal RNA". It matches the Rfam family "Bacterial small subunit ribosomal RNA". The record is from RNAcentral.